UACCCUGAACGGUGGAUCACUUGACUCGUGGGUCGAUGAAGAACGCAGCUAAUUGCGCGUCAACUUGUGAACUGCAGGACACAUGAACAUCGACAUUUCGAACGCACAUUGCGGUCCACGGAUACAAUUCCCGGACCACGCCUGGCUGAGGGUCG
Camponotus floridanus (Florida carpenter ant) is the source of this 155-nucleotide non-coding RNA. Lineage: Eukaryota; Metazoa; Arthropoda; Insecta; Hymenoptera; Formicidae. The record is from Rfam.